UAGGGAAUAUUGGGCAAUGGCCGAGAGGCUGACCCAGCCAUGCCGCGUGCAGGAAGAAGGCCUUCUGGGUUGUAAACUGCUUUUAUCAGGGAAGAAAACGCUCCUGCGGGAGUAACUGACGGUACCUGAUGAAUAAGCACCGGCUAACUCCGUGCCAGCAGCCGCGGUAAUACGGAGGGUGCAAGCGUUGUCCGGAUUUAUUGGGUUUAAAGGGUGCGUAGGCGGCCCAUUAAGUCCGUGGUGAAAUCCCAGGGCUCAACCCUGGAACUGCCAUGGAUACUGGUGGGCUUGAGUUCGGUCGAGGCGGGCGGAACUGGUGGUGUAGCGGUGAAAUGCAUAGAUACCACCAAGAACCCCGAUUGCGUAGGCAGCUCGCUAGGCCGAAACUGACGCUGAGGCACGAAAGCGUGGGGAGCGGAACAGGGAUUAGAUACCCUGGUAGUCCACGCCGUAAACGAUGAGUACUCGAUGUUGGCGAUACACUGCCAGCGUCCAAGAC
This 499-nucleotide ribosomal RNA is filed under the name uncultured Bacteroidota bacterium. RNAcentral's name for it is "bacterial SSU rRNA". It matches the Rfam family "Bacterial small subunit ribosomal RNA", at positions 355 to 853 of the family's 1533-position model. The record is from RNAcentral. Lineage: Bacteria; Pseudomonadati; Bacteroidota.